GGCGAACGGGUGAGUAAUGCAUCGGAACGUGCCCAGUCGUGGGGGAUAACGCAGCGAAAGCUGUGCUAAUACCGCAUACGAUCUAUGGAUGAAAGCGGGGGACCUUCGGGCCUCGCGCGAUUGGAGCGGCCGAUGUUAGAUUAGGUAGUUGGUGGGGUAAAGGCUCACCAAGCCAACGAUCUAUAGCUGGUCUGAGAGGACGACCAGCCACACUGGAACUGAGACACGGUCCAGACUCCUACGGGAGGCAGCAGUGGGGAAUUUUGGACAAUGGGCGAAAGCCUGAUCCAGCAAUACCGCGUGCAGGAAGAAGGCCUUCGGGUUGUAAACUGCUUUUGUACGGAACGAAAAGGUCUGGGUUAAUACCCUGGGCUCAUGACGGUACCGUAAGAAUAAGCACCGGCUAACUACGUGCCAGCAGCCGCGGUAAUACGUAGGGUGCAAGCGUUAAUCGGAAUUACUGGGCGUAAAGCGUGC
RNAcentral lists this ribosomal RNA (477 nucleotides) under uncultured Hydrogenophaga sp. Its description in RNAcentral is "bacterial SSU rRNA". It matches the Rfam family "Bacterial small subunit ribosomal RNA", at positions 97 to 570 of the family's 1533-position model. Lineage: Bacteria; Pseudomonadati; Pseudomonadota; Betaproteobacteria; Burkholderiales; Comamonadaceae. The record is from RNAcentral.